AUGGCGACCGGCGCACGGGUGAGUAACACGUAUCCAACUUGCCGAUGACUCGGGGAUAGCCUUUCGAAAGAAAGAUUAAUACCCGAUGGCAUAGUUCUUCCGCAUGGUAGAACUAUUAAAGAAUUUCGGUCAUCGAUGGGGAUGCGUUCCAUUAGCUUGUUGGCGGGGUAACGGCCCACCAAGGCAUCGAUGGAUAGGGGUUCUGAGAGGAAGGUCCCCCACAUUGGAACUGAGACACGGUCCAAACUCCUACGGGAGGCAGCAG
RNAcentral lists this ribosomal RNA (265 nucleotides) under uncultured bacterium. RNAcentral describes it as "partial 16S ribosomal RNA". It matches the Rfam family "Bacterial small subunit ribosomal RNA", at positions 88 to 354 of the family's 1533-position model. The record is from RNAcentral.